UACGUAGGGGACGAGCGUUGUCCGGAAUUACUGGGCGUAAAGGGUGCGUAGGUGGUUUCUUAAGUCAGAGGUGAAAGGCUACGGCUCAACCGUAGUAAGCCUUUGAAACUGGGAAACUUGAGUGCAGGAGAGGAGAGUGGAAUUCCUAGUGUAGCGGUGAAAUGCGUAGAUAUUAGGAGGAACACCAGUUGCGAAGGCGGCUCUCUGGACUGUAACUGACACUGAGGCACGAAAGCGUGGGGAGCAAACAGGAUUAGAUACCCCUGUAGUCCCUGAGCGGG
Molecule: ribosomal RNA, 281 nt
Filed under: uncultured prokaryote
Description: partial 16S ribosomal RNA
Rfam family: Bacterial small subunit ribosomal RNA
Source: RNAcentral